AUCAUUGAAUCUUUGAACGCAUCUUGCGCCUUUUGGAAUUCC
This 42-nucleotide ribosomal RNA is filed under the name Phragmidium violaceum. RNAcentral describes it as "partial 5.8S ribosomal RNA". The record is from RNAcentral. Lineage: Eukaryota; Fungi; Basidiomycota; Pucciniomycetes; Pucciniales; Phragmidiaceae.